RNAcentral lists this transfer RNA (89 nucleotides) under Elusimicrobiota bacterium. RNAcentral describes it as "Elusimicrobia bacterium (hot springs metagenome) tRNA-Ser". It matches the Rfam family "tRNA". Rfam says of the family: Transfer RNA (tRNA) molecules are approximately 80 nucleotides in length. Lineage: Bacteria; Pseudomonadati; Elusimicrobiota. The record is from RNAcentral.
GGAGGGGUGCGUGAGUGGCUGAAACGGCUCCGCUCGAAACGGAGUUCUCUCGUUAGAGAGAGACGGGGGUUCGAAUCCCUCCCCCUCCG